This 468-nucleotide ribosomal RNA is filed under the name uncultured bacterium. Its description in RNAcentral is "partial 16S ribosomal RNA". It matches the Rfam family "Bacterial small subunit ribosomal RNA", at positions 28 to 507 of the family's 1533-position model. The record is from RNAcentral.
GACGAACGCUGGCGGCGUGCUUAACACAUGCAAGUCGAACGGAAAGGCCCUGCUUUUGUGGGGUGCUCGAGUGGCGAACGGGUGAGUAACACGUGAGUAACCUGCCCUUGACUUUGGGAUAACUUCAGGAAACUGGGGCUAAUACCGGGUAGGAGCUCCUGCUGCAUGGUGGGGGUUGGAAAGUUUCGGCGGUUGGGGAUGGACUCGCGGCUUAUCAGCUUGUUGGUGGGGUAGUGGCUUACCAAGGCUUUGACGGGUAGCCGGCCUGAGAGGGUGACCGGCCACAUUGGGACUGAGAUACGGCGCAGACUCCUACGGGAGGCAGCAGUGGGGAAUAUUGCACAAUGGGCGGAAGCCUGAUGCAGCAACGCCGCGUGCGGGAUGACGGCCUUCGGGUUGUAAACCGCUUUCGCCUGUGACGAAGCGUGAGUGACGGUAAUGGGUAAAGAAGCACCGGCUAACUACGUG